GCUAAGUGUAACAGACUGUAACCAAAAGAGAUGCCUGGUAGCUUCAUGGUGCUUAUGAAGAACCAUUCUAAUCUAAAGAAGACCUUUACAAAACUUAAAAAGACGGAGUCAAAGAAAACAGCGACACUUUAACCAAUUGUCAUGAUCGUUGGAGAUUCUUACAAGAUGGAAGUUGUCAAAAGCAGCCACGUUUUUAUAAAUGAAAUUGUGUUAGACUACAAGGAUUCGAUGUCAGCAAUCAA
Molecule: long non-coding RNA, 242 nt
Organism: Phlebotomus papatasi
Lineage: Eukaryota; Metazoa; Arthropoda; Insecta; Diptera; Psychodidae
Exons: 3
Source: RefSeq, a predicted model, not a curated record